AAUUUAUGUGAAAAAGAUAAAAGUAUAGAAACACUUUUUUGUUGUUGCUGUUUUUUUUUUUUGGUUUUGUUUUGUUUUGUUUUUCUGAGAUAGGGUUUCUCUGUGUAGCCCUGGCUGUCCUGGAACAAACUCUGUAGACCAGGCUGUCCUAGAACUCAGAAAUCCUCCUGCCUCUGCCUUCCAAGUGCUGGGAUUAAAGUGGUGUGCCACCACUGCCCAGCAGAAAAACUCUUUGAUUCCAAAUGGCAUUUUAUACACAUGUAUGUGAUUGAAGGUAUUGUUGGAUGUUAAUAAGGGACUGCUAGGCACAGAUAGAACUCCACAACACACAAUCUAAUGACAAAGUUCAUUGUUUCUCGGGCCUCAGAUAGCAGUUUCUCCUUACCUAGCAAUGAUCCUUCAGCGAUGCUGCCCAUUUUGUUCAGUAUCAGAAUGCUAUGAGCAGGCAUUAUCUGUAUUUUCCCAUCCUAUUUCCGGUGGAUGGAAGCCCUCUGCUGGUUAUUGAUCCCAUAGCAAGACCAUGCUCUUUUUCAACUGAGUGGGGAAAGCUACAUACUAUGGUAACAUAUAGGUUUUCAAUGCCUACUUCUCAUUGUAUCAUUGUGUUACAAAAAACAGUCAAAAUUCCCCUAUGGGCCUAAGUCAAGGAAUUCACCACAAUUAUUGUUGGGCAUUUCUGAACCAAAUCCUUGAGAUUGUGUUCAGAGUCUUAUGACCAACAAAAAGUCACAGAUAGAACACUUGAUAUUCCAAACAGUAGGUGAGAGUACUGCCCAGGUACAGUAUUACCAUUGUAACUGAUAAGUAGUUGCCAAUUCUUGUCUUUUUGGAAAAUGCAUAGAAUGGCACCCCUCCUCCCCCACAUCACAGUGGAAUCUAUACACUAGAUAAUAUGUAUGCAGUGCUAGGGGGUCAGAGAUACAAGUUGACAUUAUUAUCUGACAACUUCGUCACCAUGUUCGUCAUCCUCAGGGCCGUCAUUUCUGAUAUCUCUCAAAAUAUAUACAAGGUUUUACUUAGCCCAGCUUGCUCCAGUUUGGAGAGAGAAUGGAGCGCCAUCCUGUGCAUGUUUGUGUCUGAGGUAGGAGUGAAUUUGGGAAAUAUUAUGUUUAGUAACUGUAUUCGUUUUUGUCUCCACAAACACUGUACAAAGACUUCUUUUCAAAAACCCAAAGGAAAAGAAUAACAAAAGCUGCAUUCCUCAGCCACUCCUUCCACUCUCUAAGUGUUUCCCACCCAUUGGAAAAUUGAGAACUUUUCUAAGCAUACUGGGAAAUGCAAAGAUUGUGUGAGGCAAAAGACUUAAGGUUCCUCUGGAGCUAAUUUCCCAAGUCAGACUGUUUAAACGUUACCCUGAGUUACUUAGCUCUCAAUAGAGGGACAGUUUCUUCACGGUUCCCUGUCCUUCUAGCUCAAGAAUUGCUUUAAUAUCAAUAAGAAUACAUAAUCAAUACUGACAUUGAGAAAUGUUAACAUUUGCCAAUUAAACACUGUAUUUAUGCGACUUAAUCCCCACCUCAAGGAGGCAGAGGCAGGUAGGUCUCUGUGAGUUCAACAUUAACCUUGUCUACAUAGUGACUUCCAGGCCAGCCAGAGCUACAGAGUAAGGUCUCAGAGGAAACAAAAGCAAAACAACAGUGUAGCGAUGCAAAGAGGUCUACACUGUUAGGAGAGUGGGCUGAGAAGUAAAAGAUGCAGGGGCAUUUCUGAGAAGUCCGAGAGCGGUGGUACUUUGGGCUGUCUUGCUUCCAGCUUUCAGAACCACUCAUUUUUAAGCCUUUGAAAGAACACUAUCUCCACUCAUCAGGUUGAGGCCAGAAAAUCUACAUCUUUUUUUUCUCCUUAAUAGUUUGUAUGAAGACCUUCAUUGUUCUCUUGGCUACCAUAUUUCCAGACAUCUCUCCCAACUCUCCAUCCCUCAAGUACCCUACACCAGACAUUUCUGAUGCCCAAGCAUCCAGUGCCCUUUUAGUCUGUCUUUAUUUCUGUAGUUUGGGUUAGAACAUGGGCAGCUCAAGGGAAGGGUUUCCAGUCCACUGCAUUGUCGUGGGUGAGAAAGCAUGGCUGUUUAAGGCAUCUACCUUCUCAUGAGCCCAUCUCUGUUAUUUGCAUAUUUCACCCUGACUUAUCAUGUGGAAACUGUCAUUUCUGUGUCAUCCUGGGCUUGUGGCUUUAUUCAUUUAGUCCCUGGUCUGGGCAGGUCUGCUUAAGCUCUGAGUAUUCAUGCAAGCAUAAAGUACCUUUCCUGGGCCUUAGAAACACUAUCCUAGAGCUUUGGGGGACAUAAAAAGCCAAAAUGUGUCCUUUUUACUGAGUGACAGGAAGCAUUAAGUCAUGUUUUAAAAAAGAAAAGAACGUUUAUACAUGAAUGAAUCCAUGAGCAAACGAAAUCAGGCAGGGAGGACAGAUUGGAACAGGAUGAAGGCCCCCUCGACAGAGUUACUUACCUGGAAGAGCAGAAAUGGUUUGGGAGAAUGAUAAAGGAAGUUGGGGAGCCCAAGAAAGAAGUGUGGG
This 2514-nucleotide long non-coding RNA is filed under the name Mus musculus (house mouse). RNAcentral's name for it is "long non-coding RNA chr13:109779562-109782076". Lineage: Eukaryota; Metazoa; Chordata; Mammalia; Rodentia; Muridae. The record is from RNAcentral.